UCCGGUACUGGUUUGGUUUUGUUUGUGGUCUUUGGUGAAGAUUGUGCAAUUCUGUGCGUGUGCUUGUGCACGUGUAUGCGUGCGUGUGCAUGUGCGUGUGUGCGUGCACGUGUAUGGUUGUGUGCGUGUGCACGCGUGCGCGCGCUUGCACUGAAGCGGUAGGGAGGAGGGGGGAAGUUCUGAGACGCAAAAGCUUCACAUACUCCCUUGCUGUUGACUUGGGUGCUUCUGAAAGAGAAUGUACAUCAUAAACUCCCCUGAAAAACACAGCACGGCGAAAGCAUCCUGUGCGUCUCCGGGCCUGGGACCCGCGGGCCUUUCCGGGCCAGGACGAGGCCGGGCGUCGAGGGCCGCUCGCUCACCUGUGCGCGCGGGAGGAGGCGAGCGCGCAGUCAUCACUUCUGUCACUGUGUCCGUUGAGACUACAAAGGUAACCAGAAGGAGGUCUUAUCCGUUCUGUUAGCUUCAGUUGGGAGCAGCAGGUAGAAGCCGCGCUUUGGUUUUACUUUUUCACCACGGGAAGCUAUAAAUAGCGGGGCGCGUGUGGCUUUCUGGCUGAGUUACCUACACUCGCCGGCACCUCAAGAUCCAGGCGCUGCGACUCCCACAUGAGCAUCGCAGGCCGCCGCCCCCGCGGACAUUUUCCACAACAUGCGUGUGACACGGACAGGUGCUGCUCCCCGUGAGGUGUGUGUUGUUUUUGUUUCAACUUUUGAGGUGGAGAUGCGCGCCGCCCACACUGCCAGCUCUGGACGCAAGGCCUCCCGAAUGCCUUGAAGAGAUGCAGAGCAAUGUGGUAGAUUUGUCUAAAAUUGUAAGAUAUCGUCAAAAUAAUGCAUCCGUCUCAACUGUGCAGAAAUUCUGAAGGCUGCUUCACGAGGAGGGACUCCAAGUUUUCAAGAAAAAAAGGAUUUUCUUAUGAAGAUGGAAAUGAUAGAAGAAAGUGGACAAAUCAAACAGAAUUCUUUUAACAGAACCCAGGCAGAGGUGCUGCCGACGCGGACGGCCUGUCAGGGGCUGCCCUGUGGAACCAUCCAGAAGGUGGGAGUCAGAAAGCUGGGAUGUGAGCCUGGCUUCUCCGUUCUCCAGCUUGCUAGGCUCUCAGCCUCCAUUUUUAUAUCUGCAAGAUGGGAAAGUAAUGAAAUUUACUUUACACAACAUCUGGCCCAUCAUAAGUGUUAGGUAAAUGUUACUGUUUCCUUCUAAAAACUCUUUAAAAGUGGACCAAAGGACACCUCUUUCAGAACUGCACGCCGUAGAGCUGAGCCCUAGAGUGCUAGGCAAUAACGGAAGCAGCAACGGGCAGAGUUGCCAAGCACAGUUCAACACCAGGUGGCUAUUCAGAGCUCAUACAUCAGCAAGCCCAUGAGGUCAUGCGUAACAAACAGUCUCUGCGCUCUUUGGUUAUAACCACAAACCAAAGGAAAGCCCGCACAUAGGCGCAGGGUGAAAAACAGCUGGGAACUACACAAGACUCUUCAUUCUCACCUGCACAAAAGACUCACACCCAGUGUACCAUCUUCAACCACGAGCAAGAUUCUCAGCAGACACCCUUGUGUAGACCAUAACAAAUUUUAAUCUAGUCAACUGUUUUGAAUGACAUUUUUACUUUAAAAAUAAAGAUCCUAAAAAAAAAAAAUGCAGAUCCUACUUUAACUUAGAGUGCACAUUAAUUGGGUAUGGGAAUUAACGCCCAGUAAAUACUAAGUUAUUUAGAAGAGCUAUUGUUUACAAACUUCUACUUGCAUUUUUAAACAUAUUCAGCUUUCAUGAUAUGUAUCAAUUAAAUAAAUAGAAGUUGAUCAGUCAAUUAAAAUGGAAGUAUAAAAGCAUUUUGUGCUUCUGUUCGUACUUAUUAGGAAUGAGUUAAAUAGCCUUCCUAAAGCUAUAACCUAUGUUCCAGCUGUAUGAUUAACU
This is a long non-coding RNA of Chinchilla lanigera (long-tailed chinchilla), 1917 nucleotides long. The record is from Ensembl. Lineage: Eukaryota; Metazoa; Chordata; Mammalia; Rodentia; Chinchillidae.